AUUGUGUGAUGUGCACUUGCGACGUAGCAAAUAACUGGACAUUACGUUGCCAGCCAUCCCAGCUUAAGCCAUCUAAUCAGUCGGCUUGCCCCUCAAUGCAAUGCGAGGGUUCAAAUUUACUCCUGGGCAACUCAACUUCGACAUCUUGUAACCGCACAACCUGUACCUAUGCUGGUUAUAUGAACUAAACUAUUCUAACAGUGCUCGUCAAUGAUAACACUUGUCCAGUUUCAAAUAGCUUCGCCAUGAAGGACAGUUUUCGGGCAUUUAGCUGGAACGUCUUCCUGAUUUUGAUCCUGCCCCUGCUCUCUUUCCAUCAUAUUCAGUGAUGACAUUUGUAUCAAAGACUGUCACCCUCGAUGCUUACUUCUAUGUCUGUCACCUUCAAUACACGCCGGUACGUCUGUAAGUGUUGCGCAUGUCACAGAGAUGUGAGGUGCCUGUUUUAUCCUUUGGCACUUCUGUACCAUAGAAUUGUAGCUUCCCUUGUUCCAAUGGAAAAAUUCGAUUCUUC
Eucalyptus grandis is the source of this 514-nucleotide long non-coding RNA. RefSeq lists it as uncharacterized. The transcript has 3 exons. The record is from RefSeq and is a predicted model, not a curated record. NCBI's taxonomy places the organism in Eukaryota, Viridiplantae, Streptophyta, Magnoliopsida, Myrtales, Myrtaceae.